AACGAACGCUGGCGGCAUGCCUAACACAUGCAAGUCGAACGAGACCUUCGGGUCUAGUGGCGCACGGGUGCGUAACGCGUGGGAAUCUGCCCUUGGGUUCGGAAUAACAGUUGGAAACGACUGCUAAUACCGGAUGAUGACGUAAGUCCAAAGAUUUAUCGCCCAGGGAUGAGCCCGCGUAGGAUUAGCUAGUUGGUGGGGUAAAGGCCUACCAAGGCGACGAUCCUUAGCUGGUCUGAGAGGAUGAUCAGCCACACUGGGACUGAGACACGGCCCAGACUGCUACGGGAGGCAGCAGUGGGGAAUACUGGACAAUGGGCGAAAGCCUGAUCCAGCCAUGCCGCGUGAGUGAUGAAGGCCUUAGGGUUGUAAAGCUCUUUUACCCGGGAUGAUAAUGACAGUACCGGGAGAAUAAGCCCCGGCUAACUCCGUG
This 433-nucleotide ribosomal RNA is filed under the name uncultured bacterium. RNAcentral describes it as "partial 16S ribosomal RNA". It matches the Rfam family "Bacterial small subunit ribosomal RNA", at positions 29 to 507 of the family's 1533-position model. The record is from RNAcentral.